Molecule: ribosomal RNA, 1372 nt
Filed under: uncultured bacterium
Lineage: Bacteria
Description: bacterial SSU rRNA
Rfam family: Bacterial small subunit ribosomal RNA
Source: RNAcentral
GAUGAACGCUGGCGGCGUGCCUAAUACAUGCAAGUCGAGCGAACGGACGAGAAGCUUGCUUCUCUGAUGUUAGCGGCGGGCGGGUGAGUAACACGUGGAUAACCUACCUAUAAGACUGGGAUAACUUCGGGAAACCGGAGCUAAUACCGGAUAAUAUUUUGAACCGCAUGGUUCAAAAGUGAAAGACGGUCUUGCUGUCACUUAUAGAUGGAUCCGCGCUGCAUUAGCUAGUUGGUAAGGUAACGGCUUACCAAGGCAACGAUGCAUAGCCGACCUGAGAGGGUGAUCGGCCACACUGGAACUGAGACACGGUCCAGACUCCUACGGGAGGCAGCAGUAGGGAAUCUUCCGCAAUGGGCGAAAGCCUGACGGAGCAACGCCGCGUGAGUGAUGAAGGUCUUCGGAUCGUAAAACUCUGUUAUUAGGGAAGAACAUAUGUGUAAGUAACUGUGCACAUCUUGACGGUACCUAAUCAGAAAGCCACGGCUAACUACGUGCCAGCAGCCGCGGUAAUACGUAGGUGGCAAGCGUUAUCCGGAAUUAUUGGGCGUAAAGCGCGCGUAGGCGGUUUUUUAAGUCUGAUGUGAAAGCCCACGGCUCAACCGUGGAGGGUCAUUGGAAACUGGAAAACUUGAGUGCAGAAGAGGAAAGUGGAAUUCCAUGUGUAGCGGUGAAAUGCGCAGAGAUAUGGAGGAACACCAGUGGCGAAGGCGACUUUCUGGUCUGUAACUGACGCUGAUGUGCGAAAGCGUGGGGAUCAAACAGGAUUAGAUACCCUGGUAGUCCACGCCGUAAACGAUGAGUGCUAAGUGUUAGGGGGUUUCCGCCCCUUAGUGCUGCAGCUAACGCAUUAAGCACUCCGCCUGGGGAGUACGACCGCAAGGUUGAAACUCAAAGGAAUUGACGGGGACCCGCACAAGCGGUGGAGCAUGUGGUUUAAUUCGAAGCAACGCGAAGAACCUUACCAAAUCUUGACAUCCUUUGACAACUCUAGAGAUAGAGCCUUCCCCUUCGGGGGACAAAGUGACAGGUGGUGCAUGGUUGUCGUCAGCUCGUGUCGUGAGAUGUUGGGUUAAGUCCCGCAACGAGCGCAACCCUUAAGCUUAGUUGCCAUCAUUAAGUUGGGCACUCUAAGUUGACUGCCGGUGACAAACCGGAGGAAGGUGGGGAUGACGUCAAAUCAUCAUGCCCCUUAUGAUUUGGGCUACACACGUGCUACAAUGGACAAUACAAAGGGCAGCGAAACCGCGAGGUCAAGCAAAUCCCAUAAAGUUGUUCUCAGUUCGGAUUGUAGUCUGCAACUCGACUACAUGAAGCUGGAAUCGCUAGUAAUCGUAGAUCAGCAUGCUACGGUGAAUACGUUCCCGGGUCU